CUAAAAUUCGUAUCUUAUACCAUUGGAUUGGUCUAUGGCACUGCAAGUUGUUGAAAGCCAAAAUUAGAUCUGGUUAAGCUGUCUUUCCGGUUGUCAUUUUUCCAUGAUCCUAACAACCAAAACCAAUUUCGUACCUAACAUCUUUGUAUUCCAAUCUCUCUUCUCCUGUUGUCUUCUUCUUCCCGUUUCAUGCCUUGAAAGCUUCAACCUAGCUCGAGCCUAGAACUUGACCUCAUCCCCCAGCUCCUCCCAGCUUCCUUCCCCAUCGACAACAACCCUGGGAUACAUACAUACUUAUAUAUAUAUAUAUAUAUAGCCAUGAACCUAAAUUGCCUUACAUGCAAGUAUAAGGAGAGUAAUACAUCGGAGUCUGAGACAGAAUUUGACCGAUCAGGAGAAUGUUGUUGUGUAAAGGUGGAUCUGUUCUCGACAGGGAACAUUCAUCUGUUCUCCUACGAGAAUAUGAGAAGUGGAUUUGUAAAGCCGGGAGAGAAGAAGGUAAGGCUGGGUCAUCGUCGGACUUGUAGUGAAGGAGUUGUUGGAUUUGGAGGCGGCACAGAGCCCCGGUUGGUGAGGAGCUGUGGGAUGAGAAGGGAUUGGAGCUUGGAGGAUUUGGCACAUGGGGGAGAGAAAAAAGGGAGAAAAUAUUGACACAUGCAUGCAUGAUGCACUAAUUGAAGUCAAAUCUAAGGGUGGAUGGGAUCAUCAAUGUGGUUAUGAAAAUGACGUUUCAGUUAGGUCCUGUAUUCCAAAAUAUUCUCGGGUGUAAUUAGUUGUACUCGAUCAAUCAUUUCUAAAUCCAUUGCUAUUUAUAUUUUAGUUGAAAAAUCUUGCGUAGUGUCUUCUGCAAGAAGUGGUCAAGAAUUUUCGCGCCUUCAUCCCAGAAAAAGAAAGAAAGAAAGUGGCAAGACGCUGCACCGUUUGAGAUAUGAUCACCAUGUUUGUAUAAAUGAAUUGUGCAGUACUAGUGCAGUCAAGCUAAUCAAUGUUUAUGUAGGAUGUCAUGUUGUUGUGGGAAAAACAGUAUUUAUGUAUCCAGGUAACCAUAGAAAUGGUUUCAUGGCUAUAAUGAUGCUCUUUCCAUUAGUAUUCUUCAUGCUUAGAACUGUUACCAUGCUUAACUGUAGUCAUGUAAUGGUUUUGGUUUGACUAUCACCUGCCGUUGCUCUUUGGUGUUGUAUAGGAAUAGGGUUCUGACUCCAAAUCCUCUUGAAUGUACAGUUGCUUUUAUGGGGUAUACCCCUAAGAUAAUAAAACUCAGGAUUUGCCAGUGAUA
Long non-coding RNA from Carya illinoinensis, 1276 nucleotides. RefSeq lists it as uncharacterized. The record is from RefSeq and is a predicted model, not a curated record. The transcript is spliced from 2 exons. NCBI's taxonomy places the organism in Eukaryota, Viridiplantae, Streptophyta, Magnoliopsida, Fagales, Juglandaceae.